RNAcentral lists this ribosomal RNA (466 nucleotides) under uncultured bacterium. RNAcentral's name for it is "partial 16S ribosomal RNA". It matches the Rfam family "Bacterial small subunit ribosomal RNA", at positions 338 to 795 of the family's 1533-position model. The record is from RNAcentral.
CCUACGGGAGGCAGCAGUGGGGAAUAUUGCGCAAUGGGCGAAAGCCUGACGCAGCGACGCCGCGUGAGGGAUGAAGGUCUUCGGAUCGUAAACCUCUGUCAGGAGGGAAGAAGUGGUUAUAUGCGAAUAGUGUAUGACUUUGACGGUACCUCCAAAGGAAGCACCGGCUAACUCCGUGCCAGCAGCCGCGGUAAUACGGAGGGUGCGAGCGUUAAUCGGAAUCACUGGGCGUAAAGCGCGCGUAGGCGGCUUUUCAAGUCAGGGGUGAAAUCCCACGGCCCAACCGUGGAACUGCCUUUGAAACUGUAGAGCUUGAGUGUCGGAGAGGGUGGCGGAAUUCCAGGUGUAGGAGUGAAAUCCGUAGAGAUCAAGAGGAAUACUCAUUGCGAAGGCGACCUGCUAGAACAUAACUGACGCUGAUGCGCGAAAGCGUGGGGAGCAAACAGGAUUAGAUACCCCGGUAGUC